GAAGCUAAAUAAUCUCGAAUCCACGAGAGAAUAGUUGUGUUCAAAGAACAAGUUUAUUGAUGAAAAAUAAUAAUGUCUACAACCUUCCUGACUUGGUGCUUUUAAAGAAACGAAAACAGAAAAUAGAAUCCUAAAAGGAAGGGGAAACUAAUAUCAAACAAGUUUGAUUUGUUUCCAACACUAACGACAGAUAAAAAUAAAAGUAGAAUCCUAAAAGGACUGCGAUCUAACAAAUAAACUAACUAACAGUAUUAACUUCCUCAUGUCCUACAUCA
Molecule: long non-coding RNA, 275 nt
Filed under: Populus trichocarpa (black cottonwood)
Lineage: Eukaryota; Viridiplantae; Streptophyta; Magnoliopsida; Malpighiales; Salicaceae
Description: long non-coding RNA (PTRI_LNC003714)
Source: RNAcentral